Molecule: long non-coding RNA, 372 nt
Filed under: Drosophila guanche
Lineage: Eukaryota; Metazoa; Arthropoda; Insecta; Diptera; Drosophilidae
Source: RNAcentral
GCUUUGCUGAGCUAAGCUUUGAUUCUGUCAGCAUAAUUUAUCUAACUUUAUCGCAUGCGAUAAUAUCAUUCGCUGCUUGUAAUUAUUUUGUGUUCAGCUGCAACUCCCAGCGCCACUACAACACCCCCCUGCUAAAUCACACUUUACAUGGUGACUGCAUGGAAAGAGUGAUCCGCGCUGGAAUUACUUUAAUCAUUAUUGCCUCAAAUCUUUUGCGUGAUAUUUUCCAACUAAACGACCUUGCAAAUCCUCAAUUUCGUAGUAGCUAUUACCCAAUCUAGCUCUCACUCUUGCCUUGAUGAAACUUGGAGCCAGUUUGGCGUUGAAGCCUUUUGCAAAAUUACUUUGUUGAAAGUUACGACGAAAUAAUUC